RNAcentral lists this ribosomal RNA (602 nucleotides) under uncultured bacterium. RNAcentral's name for it is "bacterial SSU rRNA". The stretch from base 1 to 520 matches the Rfam family "Bacterial small subunit ribosomal RNA", at positions 338 to 873 of the family's 1533-position model. The record is from RNAcentral.
CCUACGGGAGGCAGCAGUGGGGAAUCUUGCGCAAUGGGCGAAAGCCUGACGCAGCAACGCCGCGUGCGGGAAGAAGGCUUUCGGGCUGUAAACCGCUUUCAGCAGGAACGAAAAUGACGGUACCUGCAGAAGAAGGAGCGGCCAACUAUGUGCCAGCAGCCGCGGUGAUACAUAGGCUUCAAGCGUUGUCCGGAUUUAUUGGGCGUAAAGAGUUCGUAGGCGGUCGAGUAAGUCGGGUGUGAAAAUUCUGGGCUCAACCCAGAGACGCCACCCGAUACUGCUUGACUUGAGUUCGAUAGGGGAGUGGGGAAUUCCUAGUGUAGCGGUGAAAUGCGCAGAUACUAGGAGGAACACCGGUGGCGAAGGCGCCACUCUGGAUCGAUACUGACGCUGAGGAACGAAAGCAUGGGUAGCAAACAGGAUUAGAUACCCUGGUAGUCCAUGCCGUAAACGGUGGGCACUAGGUGUGGGUUUCUAUUAACGAAAUCCGCGCCGUCGCUAACGCAUUAAGUGCCCCGCCUGGGGGAGGUACGGUCGCGAGACGAAACUACAANAGUAAGUAGACGCGUUGAGAGUUGCGACGGCGACGACGAGGGAGGAGG